UACGGGGGGGUAAGCGUUGUUCGGAUUUACUGGGCGUAAAGGGCGCGUAGGCGGCAAUUCAAGUCAGCUGUGAAAUCUCCGGGCUUAACUCGGAACGGUCAGCUGAUACUGCUUUGCUAGAGUGCAGAAGGGCAAUCGGAAUUCUUGGUGUGAGCGGUGAAAUGCGUAGAGAUCAGGAAGAACACCGGUGGCGAAGGCGCUCUGCUAGGCCGUAACUGACACUGAGGGACGAAAGCUAGGGAGCGAAUGGG
Molecule: ribosomal RNA, 251 nt
Filed under: uncultured bacterium
Lineage: Bacteria
Description: partial 16S ribosomal RNA
Rfam family: Bacterial small subunit ribosomal RNA
Source: RNAcentral